AAAACAAACGUCGUCUGUCUCUCCCUCCAAGCCAGUCCGUCUGUCUGCAGCACAGAUAAUGUCCCUGGACAGGGUGCUGAUAAGAGAGCUGUCCACCCUUACAAAGCAGACCGGGACCCACCAGCAGGGAGAGGUGCAAUCUGAAGAUGGGAAAAGGC
Molecule: long non-coding RNA, 158 nt
Organism: Micropterus salmoides (largemouth bass)
Lineage: Eukaryota; Metazoa; Chordata; Actinopteri; Centrarchiformes; Centrarchidae
Exons: 3
Source: RefSeq, a predicted model, not a curated record